GCCAAUAUAGGCAGACCACGCAGCUGCUAUGGGGCCCGUGGGAGGGGGGGGCCCGGAGUGCAUGGAAGCAAGGGCCGGCUCCCAGCUACCACCAUUCUUCCUUCUCUGCUGCUGGACUGCAUUUAGUUUUACUUUGGAGAAAGGGACAGCACAGUACCGUGCAGGGAUUGUUCCUUUCUCCAAAGUAAACUUUACCGAUCUGACAUGAGCAGACAGCUCCCCCCCCCUCCUCCUCUCUGCAGUGUGAUAUUCCUUCAUGUGUGAGGAGGGGGCGGAGCCAGAGGAGCCGAGGCAGCAGCAGGAGAUAAUGGAGACCCUGCACCUUCUGACCUCCGGUGUCACUGUGCCUCCAGUAUAAAGUUCAGUCCCUCACCGGUCCUCCUACACAGCAACAAUGGGCUCAGUGUGUUAUUAGGCUGAUUCCCAAGUGAAAGGUCACUGAAGCCGCCAUAAAGAAGAUUUCCUGAGAAAAGAGAAAGCAUUAUCCAGCUCAUCGAUAGAGGUAGCAGCUAGACCAUGUUGACCCUGGGAUCUCAAAAAGAGAAGAUUUCACCAAUACAUCGUCCUAUCCCUAAAAACAUGGGCAACUCUAGGUGGAUUAAGGCGGACAUUUU
Molecule: long non-coding RNA, 614 nt
Organism: Bufo gargarizans (Asiatic toad)
Lineage: Eukaryota; Metazoa; Chordata; Amphibia; Anura; Bufonidae
Exons: 3
Source: RefSeq, a predicted model, not a curated record